GGCUCGGUAGUGGACGGCCCACGCCUGCAUUUGCUCAUCUUGAAAGGCAUUGGAUCAGCAGGAACCGCUCGUUCGACUCGAGCCCGGGCCA
Molecule: non-coding RNA, 91 nt
Organism: Mycena vulgaris
Lineage: Eukaryota; Fungi; Basidiomycota; Agaricomycetes; Agaricales; Mycenaceae
Source: the annotation of a GenBank genome assembly